RNAcentral lists this ribosomal RNA (803 nucleotides) under uncultured bacterium. RNAcentral's name for it is "bacterial SSU rRNA". It matches the Rfam family "Bacterial small subunit ribosomal RNA", at positions 8 to 806 of the family's 1533-position model. The record is from RNAcentral.
AGAGUUUUUUCCUGGCUCAGAUUGAACGCUGGCGGCAGGCCUAACACAUGCAAGUCGAGCGGUAGAGAGGAGCUUGCUCCUCUUGAGAGCGGCGGACGGGUGAGUAAUGCCUAGGAAUCUGCCUGGUAGUGGGGGAUAACGUUCGGAAACGGACGCUAAUACCGCAUACGUCCUACGGGAGAAAGCAGGGGACCUUCGGGCCUUGCGCUAUCAGAUGAGCCUAGGUCGGAUUAGCUAGUUGGUGAGGUAAUGGCUCACCAAGGCGACGAUCCGUAACUGGUCUGAGAGGAUGAUCAGUCACACUGGAACUGAGACACGGUCCAGACUCCUACGGGAGGCAGCAGUGGGGAAUAUUGGACAAUGGGCGUAAGCCUGAUCCAGCCAUGCCGCGUGUGUGAAGAAGGUCUUCGGAUUGUAAAGCACUUUAAGUUGGGAGGAAGGGCAGUAAAUUAAUACUUUGCUGUUUUGACGUUACCGACAGAAUAAGCACCGGCUAACUCUGUGCCAGCAGCCGCGGUAAUACAGAGGGUGCAAGCGUUAAUCGGAAUUACUGGGCGUAAAGCGCGCGUAGGUGGUUUGUUAAGUUGGAUGUGAAAUCCCCGGGCUCAACCUGGGAACUGCAUUCAAAACUGACUGACUAGAGUAUGGUAGAGGGUGGUGGAAUUUCCUGUGUAGCGGUGAAAUGCGUAGAUAUAGGAAGGAACACCAGUGGCGAAGGCGACCACCUGGACUAAUACUGACACUGAGGUGCGAAAGCGUGGGGAGCAAACAGGAUUAGAUACCCUGGUAGUCCACGCCGUAAA